CCAAUGCACGGCGGUCGACAUGUCGAGCGCAGACAGUACUCCACCAAUGCCAGCGAUUGCUCGGGCUAGCCGGUGCCGCAGCUCCGCCACGGGCCAUGGAAGCCGUGGGUGGACUCGAUGGCGCUAUCAAGGCGAAGCAUGAUGCUUGGAGGUCCGCACCGGCAAGCAUUCGGCAGAUGAAGGACUCGUCCAUCUAGUUGAGGAAGAAUGAGUGGCUUUCCUCCAUCCAGGGACC
This 235-nucleotide long non-coding RNA is filed under the name Elaeis guineensis (African oil palm). RNAcentral describes it as "long non-coding RNA (EGUI_LNC032651)". Lineage: Eukaryota; Viridiplantae; Streptophyta; Magnoliopsida; Arecales; Arecaceae. The record is from RNAcentral.